CAGAGCCCGAGGCGAAGCUUAAGUGCUUAUGCUUUUUCAGGAGGUACAGACCCAGCUCUGCGAGAGCCAGGGGAAAAGGAAGAGAGGCAGGGAAGGAAUGGCAGCAGGUACAAGGUGAUGAAUGACUGCACUGGCCAUUGCUUCAUGAAGAGCCAUGAAAAAAGAGCCGGUUUCUCAGCAGGUGGCUGGCUGCUCAGUCACAAAGGACCUCUUUGGACAGGCUUUAUGGAAAUACUGUGCCUAGGACAGUCCCUCAAAGGCAGGAGGGAGAGAAAAUGCAUCUGCAAGCUCACUUUGUCUUCUUUCUUCUGCUGGUCAAAAUUUGCUGGCUGGGGCAGUUAACGCCCUCACACAUCCGAGUUGUGUCACCUGGCCCCUUUGGUAGCCACUGGGGAAGCCAGAUCUAGGCAUGUGGCCUGAUGGCUCCUGCGGUGGAACCACACGCUCACACUCGGUCAGUCACCACUGGGAUGGCCUGGGCAGGGCAGGCUGAGUGGCUGGGAGACAGCUGAGCCAAAGAUAUCUAAGCAAGCACCUGUGAUGUAUGCACUGCAGUGUCCAAAUGUGAAAAAGCAAGAAAGGGAGAUAGAAGCAUAUUUUUUUCUGGAGAGAAGGAGGAAACCACCAGGAGAAUACAAACGGAAAAAAGAUGGAGUUGAGCUCUGUCACCCAGGCUGGAGUGCAGUGGCACCAUCUCAGCUGACUGUGACCUCCGCCUCCUGAGUUCAAGUGAUUCUCCUGCAUCAGCCUCCCCAGUAGCUGGGACUACAGAAUAUCAGCUUCCUGAGAGUGUAAAGCUCAUGUCUGUUCUGCUAUCUGCUGGUGCCUGACACAGUGACUGCCAUAUGAGAAGAGCCCCUAAAAUAGUGAAAUAAAUGAAGAAUCACAUGAGUGAAAUCCUCAUGGUACCUGAGUAUGGGCAAAGCUGGAAAACAGUGAUGGAGUUUUCCAUAGCAGCAUCCUAAGAAGACACCCUUGAGCAGGUGAGAACGCAUUUUGAGGACAUCAGCAAACACAGCCUAAGAGGGGCUUAAAUGGUGAUAUCACCUGGGCUUGCUUUCUCAGGUACUCUUUUAUAAGGAUGUAAUUCACAGCUGUCCCAAGAAGACUCACCAGGAACACUGUUAAUAACUGCCUUAGAAGCAUUUUGUGAUCUAUCAUUUAGGAUAUUUGUUUAGUUGCUGUAACAGGUACCAAGUAACAAUGGCUUAAACAAGAUGGUCUGUCUUUCAAAUAAACGUCCAGCUGGUAGGCAGCCCAGGAAAGGUGGGCUGCUCUGCUUCAUGUGAUGGUCUGAGGACCCUUAUGCCUUCUGUUUUGUUGCCUUGCCAUCCUCCAGGGUGUUGUCCUAUCCAUAUGACUGAGUUAAAUGCCCACCAUUAUGUCUGCAUUCCAGCCUCAAGAAAGAGGAAAGAAGAAAGGGAGAGCAUGCAACUUUCUUUUAAGGAUGUGACCUAGAAGUGACAUACAUCACUUAGGCUCACAUGCCAUUGGUGGGAACUUAGUCAUAUGGCCACACCUAGUUGCAAGUGAGGCUGGGAUAUGUCAUCUCUAGAUGGACAAUCAUGUACCUCCCAAAAACUUGGGGAUUACUAUUACCAAAAGGAAGAAAGAAAAUAUGAAUGGGUGGGAUUGGCAGUCUCUCAUCAGUGGGAAAGCAUCAUGACUGAUGCUGAGAAACUCUUUGCCGAAGUUUAUGACCUAUAUAUGUAACUCCAUAUUACUGACAAUGUGCAUCACAGGGUGUGGUAGGUGGCUUCUAAAAUGACCCCAAAUGAUUCCUGUGUCCUGGUACUCAAGCCCUUGUGUAAUCCCUUUUUCUUGAAUGACUUCCUUCAAGUUAAUAGGCUGCCACUUCUAUGAUUAGAUUAUUAAAGAUGUACCUCCAUUUUCCUAGCAGACUUUAUUGCCUUUGCAGCUUGCAAGCUUUGAUGAAGCAGCCAUGUUGGGGAGGCCCAUAUGGCAAGAAACCAAAGUCAGUCUCCAGGCAAUAGCCAACAAAGAACUGAGGUCCUCAGUCCAAUAGCCUACAAAGAACUGAAUCCUACCAAUAACCACUUGAGUUUGGAAAUGGAACCCUUACCAAUCGAGCCUUCAGAUUAGACCCCAGCCUUGGUUGACACCUUCACUGUAGCCUUAUGAAAGAUCCUGAAGCAGAUGAUGCAACUAAACUGUGCCUGGACUUCUGAUGCACAGAACCUGUGAGAUAAUAAAUACUGCCAGCUCCAUGACAGCAAGAACCUUGUAUGACUUUUUCAUGAUGGAUGUUCAUCUGUGCCAUCUGUAAAUAUUUAAUUAAUAUUUGUGGAAUACAUGAAUCCAAAAGUGAAUGGAAUGAUGAAGAGGGAAAGGAUCAUGACAUCUACUACAGCAUUUGGCACAGACCCAGGUUUCCCUGGUACCGGUAAUUCCCAGCAGCUUUCUACAAUUCCAAAGGUCAGAAAUAAACUGCCAAAAAAAUUUUACUAAAUCAUGUUCUGUUCUGGGAUACAGCCCUGAAAUGCACUUUAAGCAAGAAAGACUUUGUAGACGAGAAAAAAGGUAGACCAAUGAGGAUUGGUCUAGAACCAGAGGAAAGUGAACAUUCUUGGUUUAGAUAAAUAUCCACAACCUUCUAAGUUUUUCAUGUGUACUACAGAGAAGCUCCAGGCUCCUACACUUCCCUGUGGGUAGUUUUAAAAAGCUAUUGUAGCAAAACAGAGGCUGGUGGUGACUAUGCUUAUCUUUUAGAAGAGCCAUCAUUGCAUUUCUGCAGCACAGAAUAUAUAUGUGUUUUUUACUCUUAGUGGUGGGGUUUAUAUGUGACUCAUGAUGUUUAGUUGUUAAUCAUCCAAUGACACUAAAUACUGCUUAGUUAGCUCAGUAUUCCCUUUAGGAACCCAGAUAUUGCUAAAGUCACCGUUCGACUUAAUGGGGAAAAUUCCACUAACAUAUAAAAUAUGUGAUUUAUAAUUCAAAAAUGUAAAUCUUGUAUUGGUAUUACAUACUAUAAAAGGACAAUUAUCUACAUAACUACAUAACACGCAUGUAAGGAUCAAUAUUUAAUUAAGACUAUUGCUGUAUUAUCAUUGGGAGUUAGAGCCCAAUAUUCUCAAUUGGGUGAGAAUUUCAACCA
This is a long non-coding RNA of Symphalangus syndactylus (siamang), 3115 nucleotides long. RefSeq lists it as uncharacterized. The record is from RefSeq and is a predicted model, not a curated record. Lineage: Eukaryota; Metazoa; Chordata; Mammalia; Primates; Hylobatidae.